This is a small nuclear RNA of Melopsittacus undulatus (budgerigar), 165 nucleotides long. Its record names the gene U1. It matches the Rfam family "U1 spliceosomal RNA". From Rfam's summary of the family: U1 is a small nuclear RNA (snRNA) component of the spliceosome (involved in pre-mRNA splicing). The record is from Ensembl. NCBI's taxonomy places the organism in Eukaryota, Metazoa, Chordata, Aves, Psittaciformes, Psittaculidae.
UUACUUACCUGGCAGGCGAGAAAGCAUGAUCGAGCAGUUGGUUUUCUCAGGGAGAGGCUCAUCCCUUGCCCUCCGGGUGUGAUGACCCCUGUGAUUUCCCCUACUGAGGGAAACUCAACUGCAUAGUUUGUGGUAGUGAGGGACUGUGUUUUCUAUGGGUUUUGU